ACAGCCACAUCCUGUUGAAAUACUGGUUCCUGUAUAAUCACUGAAGUUAAGCAAUAUUGAGCGUGGUUAGUACCUUGAUGGGUGCCUGCUUGGGAAUACUAAGU
Non-coding RNA from Acanthosepion pharaonis, 104 nucleotides. Lineage: Eukaryota; Metazoa; Mollusca; Cephalopoda; Sepiida; Sepiidae. The record is from the annotation of a GenBank genome assembly.